GGAAAAUCUCCUUACAAUAUAAAGCGCCCAAAGGUACAAUUGUUACACAAACUAUAUACAAUAUCAAAAUUCUAAAUUGUAAAUUUCAGAUGUCUGAGGUAAAAACAACUUUAGAGUUCAUAAGAUGGGAACUUUGCUGCAUAUGGCUCAAUCAUGUCAAAAAAGAGAUAUGCCAUUCCCCCAAUUCCUUCAAACAAGGAAUAAGGGCAAUCACCAGAAUGCAUCUUCCCUUCUGAUAUUAGCUUUUGUGCAUUCUGAUGCAGAAAGCAUGCAAAUGCUUUGGCUCUGUAUAAGUAUAUGAGAUCACCCGUCAACUGGUAAAGUGAAAGAAACACAUACGUGUUACCGCUAAUUCCAUGGCAGAUGCCAACCCGUUUGAGUAGACCACGGUUCCAGACGACUUCCCCAGCAUCUACCGCAGCUUGCAGAAAUUCUUCGUCUCCAAAAACCUCAGCUGCUUUUAUGAGGGUAAGUGCAACCCCAGGAGCCCCAUGGCACCAGUGGACCAGACGGUCAGAUUCUUUUCCUUCACUUGAAGGAUAAUUGCCACUUGGAAAUCGAUUUUUAAUCAUGUAACGUAGCGUAUUCUUGACAUCCUCAACCUCAUCUGGCUUUAGUUCCAUGUUCAUCAAGACAUGCAUAAUUCCAGCCAGUCCAUGGGCAGCACCCCAGUACUUCUUCCCAUGCCAUUCAUACAUCAAUGGAGAUUUGCUCUUCUUACCCAAUCCCCUACCAGCCUCAAUGACUUCGUCCACCACUGAUCUCAUAAUAGCGUUAGAUAUCGUGUUCCGACCAAUGUGCUUGUUUAGGAACAAACAGGCCCAUAGGAACCCUGCUCUGCCAUAUAGGAGUUCAUUUGGCAAAUCACUAGGUAGUUUGAUCUGCUCUCACAGGCAUAUAAAUGGGGUCUCAAAAUUCAUAAGCAUAAAAAUGGAAGGAAGCCAACAUGAAAUCAAUGGUGAAAAAGCAUUACAUCUUUAAACUUUUCCAAGUAAUGGUCGACGAGCCUUCCAUCAUUAGCGAGCUUUGCGGCAAC
This 1036-nucleotide unclassified non-coding RNA is filed under the name Hevea brasiliensis (rubber tree). The record is from RNAcentral. Lineage: Eukaryota; Viridiplantae; Streptophyta; Magnoliopsida; Malpighiales; Euphorbiaceae.